RNAcentral lists this non-coding RNA (23 nucleotides) under Cricetulus griseus (Chinese hamster). RNAcentral also lists the same sequence under 1 other name. The record is from RNAcentral. Lineage: Eukaryota; Metazoa; Chordata; Mammalia; Rodentia; Cricetidae.
GGUGGUCUAGUGGUUAGGAUUCG